Non-coding RNA from Microcebus murinus (gray mouse lemur), 550 nucleotides. NCBI's taxonomy places the organism in Eukaryota, Metazoa, Chordata, Mammalia, Primates, Cheirogaleidae. The record is from RefSeq and is a predicted model, not a curated record.
GCCAAGUUAUUGCAACAAGGGAAGAUGUCUCUGUUUUCGGAAAUUUCUCAAUUACGCUUUGCUGCUGAGAGCUGGCACAAAAUAGUAACCCAGGAAGAUUUACAGAGACUGGGGAGUCUUCCUGUUCUCACCGGAUUCCUCGGGCAUUAUCUUAAACCAGCAGCCUUUCCAGGGACCGCGCUGGCGGCAUCUCACACCCCCCACGCGGAGCGGAGUCUCUGCCCUCCGUGCACGUGACUGCUCCAACACCACCCUCUCCCGGGGCCAAGGCACAGCCGGUGACGGCGCUGUGGAGAGGACCCCGCGGCGUGGCAUCCCUGAGUGUGGAAGGAGGACACUGUAAAAUACUUUCCUUGAAACCUGACUCUCGUGGUCCUUCAAGAACAUUUUGUUUUAGUUCUUUAUAUAUAACAUCCAGGCUGGAUUGAGACUUUUGUUGGACUUGAUUGGACUUUUGUUGGGGGAGUGGGAGGGAGUGUUUGGAGCUCUGGUAUUGUUUCGAGCACACAGGAAUAAAAACGGGAAGCUUAGUUUUGCUACCUGUAACCUA